UUUUAUAUAAUAACCACGUCUUAAAUGAGCGUUCAACACAAACCAAAAAUAUAUUUGACCUAAAAUAUGUGAACAGUAAUAACGAACUCAAAAGCAAUCAAGUCAACUAAAAAAUGAUAAUUCAAGAUUUAAUAAUUUGAACUAAUAAUAGAACCAGUUGCCACCUCAGACGUUUGGUAGUAACAUGGCUUUUCAAUCACUGGCCAAUUUUUUUAUUUAUGACUAGAGCCAUCAUGCAUUAUGCGGUGGUCUGGCCUCUUCUUUGGAGGCAGUGGCCCUUCUGAGGGAGGUGGGUGGUCUGGCCUCUUCCUUUGAGGGAAUGAUCUGCCCCGAGGUAUUGGAGCCACUGCUUCUUGAUUCAAUGACUGAACACCACCCUGAGAGCUUUGCCAUGAGGGAGGGAAAGAAGCACGUGCAUUUUGUGCAACUUUUUUAAGAUAUUGCAGCAUCAAACGCCACUGAUGAAGAUUUUCUCGAGAACGAAGGUGAUUUCCACUGAUGUAACUAGUACCUCCAACUCCAAGACUAGCAACAGUAUGUGUCCCAAACAAAAAAUCCACCAAUUGAAUUCCUUGGAUCUGGUUAUUUAGAAACUGGGACAGGUAGCUGAUAGAUUUAUGUAUGCAUCUGUAGAUGGUCUCUACCUUGGCAGUUCCAACCGCUCUAGAAACAUUUUGGGACCGAUCCAUGAAAUCCUCAACCUGUUCAACAAAAUAUCACCAAUACAACGUAAACACCAUAUGUAUUAUUAUUAAAAAAUGAGCGGUGGAAAUGAAUUUAGUUACCCUCAUUGAGUAUAAAGCAUUAAAUAAAUUUUUUGUUAUUUUUAUUGAAUUUUCAGAUUUUUAUUUAAUUAAGGAUUUUAUGAGUUUUUAUUAUGAUUUGGUAGUUUUUAUUAAUUAAUUUUUAUAGUAUUUUAAUUGAAUUUUUAGUUUUUCAUUUAUUCUAGGUAAAUCAUAGACAAUUAGGGCAAAUAUUUUAAAAUUUUAUGAAAAAGUUUCUUAGGUUUAAAAUUACAUUUGAAAAAUCGGUUUCUAGAUUUGUUAUGGAAAUAAAUUUUUGGUGAAGAAAAAGUUUAUUUUUAGAGUAUGAAUUAAAUUUUAUGGUAAUUUUAUUUAAUUUUCGGAUUUUUAUUUAAUUCAUAAUUUUAUGAGUUUUUAUUGUGAUUUGGUGAAUUUUUUAUAGUUUUUAUUAAUUAAUUUUUAUGGUAUUUUUAUUGAAUUUUUUGGUUUUUUAUUUAAUCUAGGUUAAUUUUAGAUAAUUAGGGCAAAUACUCUAAAUUAAAAUAAAAUAUUUCCUGAAAUUAAAACUAAAUAAAUAAUGAGAUAAAUUAAAAUUAAAUCAAGAAAUAAACAACCUAAAUCAUAAUCAAAUCUAAAAUUUAAAAGGUAAUAAAUAAAAAUAGAUAAAAACUACAAAAAUCUAGAUAAUCACAAUAAAAACUCAUAAAAUCCUGAAUUAAUUAAAAAUCCGAAAAUUUAAUAAAAAUUAAUUAAUACUAUAAAAAUAAAUCAAAAAUAUAUUAAGUUAAAAUCAAGAAAUAAAAAAUCUAAAUCCUAAUCAAAUCUAAAAUUUAAAAACGUUUUUUUUAUGAGAAUUAACCUGAGAAUGACACGUGAAUUUUUUUUUAUGAAAAUUAACGUAAGAAUGACACGUCACUGAGAAUGACACGUCACUAAAUCAGUCUUAUAGGAGUUCUUCUUUUCUAAUAUAUAUUGAUAUUGAUGAUUCAUGUUUAAUUUCAUGCUAGUACUUCAUUAUUUGUAAUUAAAAAGUGAAGCUACCACAUAAAAAAAUGUCGAUGAGUCGAUGACCAUAUUUGAAACGACUGCAAACAUUGAAGAACUGUUUUAUAUAAUAACCACGUCUUAAAUGAGCGUUCAACACAAACCAAAAAUAUAUUUGACCUAAAAUAUGUGAACAGUAAUAACGAACUCAAAAGCAAUCAAGUCAACUAAAAAAUGAUAAUUCAAGAUUUAAUAAUUUGAACUAAUAAUAGAACCAGUUGCCACCUCAGACGUUUGGUAGUAACAUGGCUUUUCAAUCACUGGCCAAUUUUUUUAUUUAUGACUAGAGCCAUCAUGCAUUAUGCGGUGGUCUGGCCUCUUCUUUGGAGGCAGUGGCCCUUCUGAGGGAGGUGGGUGGUCUGGCCUCUUCCUUUGAGGGAAUGAUCUGCCCCGAGGUAUUGGAGCCACUGCUUCUUGAUUCAAUGACUGAACACCACCCCGAGAGCUUUGUGAUGAAACAAGACCACCAGAAACUAUGGGUUGUGAGGUGAAAGG
RNAcentral lists this long non-coding RNA (2282 nucleotides) under Lotus japonicus. RNAcentral describes it as "long non-coding RNA (LJAP_LNC001047)". Lineage: Eukaryota; Viridiplantae; Streptophyta; Magnoliopsida; Fabales; Fabaceae. The record is from RNAcentral.